CACGUAGGUGGCAUGGUAAGUCAAAGGUGAAAGCCCUCGGCUCAACCGAGGAACUGCCUUUGAAACUGCUUUGCUUGAGUCCGGGGAGGGGGAGCGGAAUUCCCAGUGUAGCGGUGAAAUGCGUAGAUACUGGGAGGGACACCGGUGGCGAAGGCGGCUCCCUGGACCGGUACUGACACUGAGGUGCGAAAGCGUGGGUAGCAAACA
This 207-nucleotide ribosomal RNA is filed under the name uncultured bacterium. Its description in RNAcentral is "partial 16S ribosomal RNA". It matches the Rfam family "Bacterial small subunit ribosomal RNA", at positions 568 to 774 of the family's 1533-position model. The record is from RNAcentral.